This 4212-nucleotide long non-coding RNA is filed under the name Sus scrofa (pig). RNAcentral describes it as "lncRNA (ENSSSCG00055009218.1)". Lineage: Eukaryota; Metazoa; Chordata; Mammalia; Artiodactyla; Suidae. The record is from RNAcentral.
GUCUUUUGUCUUUUUAGGGCCACACUUCUGGCAUAUAGAGGUUCCAAGGCUAGGGGUCCAAUCGGAGCUACAGCUGCCGGCCACAAGCCACAGCCACAGCCACAGCCACAGCCACAGCCACAGCCACAGCAACGUGAGUUCCGAGCCGAGUCUGUGACCUACACCACAGCUCAUGGCAAAACAGGAUCCUUAACCCACUGAGCGAGGCCAGCGAAGCCAUGAAGGGAACUCUCUACUCCACCCAUAUAUAUAUUUGGCUAGUGGUCAAAUGCGAGCUGCUGCUGAAGUCUACACCACAGCCAGGGCAGCAGUGGAUCUGAGCCGCAUCUCCAUGCAGCAAUACCGUAUCCUUAACCCACUGAGCGAGGCCAAGAAUCUACGCACAUCCUCAUGAAGACUACAUGGGUUCUUAACCCAGCUGAAUUACAACAGGAACUCCACAAAUCCACCCAUCUUAACAGGUAUUUCUCUAUUCAAAAUGCUUUAGUGAUGCCCCAUUAUCCAUAACUGCAGCUUCUCCAAAAUCUGUGCCUGUGGAGUUCCCAUCGUGGCGCAGUGGUUAAUGAAUCUGACUAGGAACCAUGAGGUUGCAGGUUUGAUCCCUGGCCUUGAUCAGGGGGUUAAGGAUCUGGCUGUGAGCUGAGGUGUAGAUCGCAGACGUGGCUCAGAUCCCUCCUUGCUGUGGCUCUGGCGUAGGCCGACAGCUGCAGCUCUGAUUGGACCCCUAGCCUGGGAACCUCCAUAUGCCACGGGAGCAGCCCCAGAAAAGAUAAACAAAAAAAAAAAAAAAAAAAAAAUCUGUGCUUGGAGCCUUGUGUCCCAUUUCCCACCUUUAUCCCCCUAUGUCCCAGUCCCUACACCAGCUUGAGAAAGCUGCAUGACGUAUACUGGUUGUAAGUUUGCUUUCAAGGGGAAUAUGUGUCAAAAAGACUGCCUUUCUUCACUACACUUUGACCCCCAGCCUGCUGCUAUUUUAGACACAAGGAAUGAGUCACUGAAAUUUAUAUCAACCUUGCCCCUGGCUCAGUCUUGUCGUAGGGACUCUACUUGCUGUAUGAAAUAAAUUAACAGCAGCAGUUUAACUUGUCCCCAUACCUUUAGGAUAAAAUUUUGUAUAGUAAACCACCCAGCCAUAAAUUUUAUUCCCAUGCUCUAGGAAUGCCAUUCAACAAUUCCAGCAUUCUUGUUGUUGUUGUCGUUGUCUUUUUAAGGCUGCACCCCGGGCAUUUGGAGGUUUCCAGACUAGAGGUUGAAUCGCAGCUGUAGCCCCUGGCCUAUACCACAGCCACAGCAACACCAGAUCCAAGCUGCAUCCGCAGCCAACACCAUAGCCCAUGACAAUGCCAGAUUCUUAACCAAUUGAGCAAGGCCAGGGAUCAAACCUGUAUCCUCAGGGGUACCAGUUAGAUUCGUUUCCAUUGAGCCACAAUAGGAACUCCCUGGCAUUUCAUUUACAGAAAUGAGGUUCUUUUUCUUCCUCUCUUCUCCUGUCCUUAUACUGACUGCUCUCUCUGAAGCUGUCCCUACUUUUCCCUUCCCCAUCCCAGGUAUAGAAUCAGUCACUCUCUUCCCUGACAGCAUGUGGCUUUUCCUUCUCUUGGAUAUUUUUCACAUUCUGCUUGGUGUCGUGAUGAUGAUGUGGGUAAGUCUGGUCUCCAUGGCAGCCACAUCCAUUGGUUCCAUCCUCAUGUCAUUCCUGGGUCCUGACCACCCCUCCUUGAAACUCUCUUCCCUCAUAGCCACUCCACUCCUUUUAUUCCACCUAUAAUCACUCUUCCUCAAUAUCUUUCACUUGCUCGUCUCUCUUCCCACUCCUUAUCUCAGAGGUUCUUACACUCUUUCUGGUGCAACAGCAGAGGUCUAGCCUGAGCUAACACCAAAUUCAUAUGACAGGAGCCUUUUCCGAAGCUGGGAGGGGAAGAAAGAGUGAUAACAAUUUCCUCGUGUUAGGGUUCCUAUCAUUUUUCCUGAAAGGUUGCCACCUAACUGUGAGCAAUGGUCAGCAAAUGACAUAAGCAAGCAAAUAUUAAAGAAAAACAGAAAAUUAAUCAUAUAUCUACAUAUAUAUAUAUAUAAAACUUAAGAGUUUUGCAUUUAUGGGUUACAACUUCAUAUUAUGCAUUAUUUAGCAUUUCACUAACAAAACUGGUGAUCCGCAUUCUCAUAACAUAAUGAAACAUAACCACUUUUCUACAUGUGUGUACAUACACACCUGUAAUGUAAAUUACACAUAUUAAAUAUCAACAUACAAUUGAAUCCCUCUCUGUGUAAUAUCACAACAGGUAAAAAUAGCCCAGUGGAACUCUCAGGUAUUGCAGAUGUGAAUGCAAAACUGUCCCACCAUUUUGGAGACCAAUUUGGCAGUUUUUUUAUGCAACAGAACAUGUAUAGUUCCAGCCAUUCCAUCCUUAGAUAUUUACUCAAAACAACAUGUCCACAUAAAGAUUUGUAUACUGGGAGUUCCCCUCAUGGUGCAGUGGAAACGAAUCCAACUAGGAACCAUGAGGUUGAGGGUUCAAUCCCUGGCCUCGUUCAGUGGGUUAAGGAUCUAGCAUUGCCAUGAGCUGUGGUGUAGGUUGCAGACGCUGCUCGGAUCCUGUGUUGCUGUAGCUGUGGCAUAGGCCAGCAGCUGUAGCCUAGGAACCUCCAUGUGCCGCAAGUGUGGCCCUAAAAAAAAAAAAAAAAAAAAAAAUAAGAAAAUAAAUAAAUAAAAUAAAAAAGGAACGACAACAACAAAAAAGACUUGUAUACAAAAGUUCACAGCAACUUUCGUAGCCUGAAACUGGAAAAAUAUACAGGUCUACCAACGUGUAAAUAAAAUGUGAUAUAGCCACACAAUUCAGUAACAUUCAGCAAUUUAAAAACUAUUUAUAGGGAGUUCACUUGUGCCACAGUGGGUUAAGGAUCUGGUGUGGUCACCGCAGCAGUUCAGGUCACCGCUGUGGCGCAGGUUCAGUCCCUGGCUUGGGAACUUCCACGUGCCAUUACUGUGGCCAAAACCAAAACAAAACAAAAAAGAAAUAGAAAAUGAGAGAGAGAAAAGCUUCUCCCCAGCUUCCUGGUGUAAAAAUAAAAUGUAUCAGUUCUUAAACUUGCCUAUGCAUCAGAAUCUCCUGGAGAGCCUGUUAGAACAUAGAAUUUUAACCCUCUCUUCAGAGCUUCUGAUCCCGUUGGUCUGGAGUGGGACCUGGUAGUUGGCAUUUCUAGCAAGUUCCCAGGUGAUGCUAGUCUGGGGACCGCACGUGGAGAAGCACUGCUUUAUACCCUGGUCUUCUGGAUUCUUAUAUAGUUCUGAAACAGCCUUACCCAUGAAUUAUAUAAAAAGUCUAAUUUAUUUCACUAGUUACACUAUCCACACUAACAGUAUUAAGAAAGGUCAAAAGAAAACAUGCCAUGGUUCUUGGAAUAUUGGAAUAGAUGGACAAACUAUUCCUGCUUCAGAUACCUUUCUGUACGGUUGAGUUUUUCUUCUCAAUCCUUAGGGUACUAAGUAGCUUUUGUGUUUCUGACAUUAAUUUUGCCACUCUUUUAUCAGGAAAAGUGGACAUUACACUAUGUUCUGCUGAUAAAUGACAGUGUCAAAGUUCAAAAUGUACAUCACUUUCUAUUGUCAGAUGAAAAAGAUAGAUAAGAAAAUUGUGAGGACAGAAGUAGAGGGUGAAAAGAAGAAAUUACAUGAAAAGAUGGAGAAAGAGGGAAGAAAACCACAAAUCACAAUGGAAACAGAAAUUCCCCAAGGGACAAGAACCAGCGUUUGAGAGAUUAAUAGUCAAGGGAGCAAGGAAAGAAGAAAUGGCUAUAUGAGCAGGAAGUUUACUCUAGAGGUGAAAAGAAAACCACGGUGGAAAAAAAGGAUUUGAAAUAUAAAAUAAUGUUGGGUAAAACAAAACAAAAACAGAAGAUAGCCAAGAGAGAAGGAAGAGCUAUUUCUUUUUCUAAUUAUUAAAUGCAACAUUUAGAGAAGAAGAUAUAGUAACAUACAAUGAUUUGUGAAGAGAGGAAGGAAAGGAUCCAUUUUUUAAAUAUUCUCGUCUUAUUUGCUGGAUAAACAUUCAACUCCAGGUUAGUGGAAACCAACUGCAGUUGUUCAACCCUUUAGAGGUCAGAGUCUGAAAUGGCCAGAUAUGUCACUAGAGGGAGCGGGUAGAUUUGGGGUAUAGUAAGCAUAACAUUGCCCCCUGUCCCCAAGAUGUCCAGGUCCUAAUCCCUGGA